This 253-nucleotide ribosomal RNA is filed under the name uncultured bacterium. Its description in RNAcentral is "partial 16S ribosomal RNA". It matches the Rfam family "Bacterial small subunit ribosomal RNA", at positions 524 to 776 of the family's 1533-position model. The record is from RNAcentral.
UACGUAGGGUGCGAGCGUUGUCCGGAAUUAUUGGGCGUAAAGGGCUCGUAGGCGGUUUGUCGCGUCGGGAGUGAAAACCUCGGGCUUAACUCGGGGCUUGCUUUCGAUACGGGCAGACUGGAGGUAUGCAGGGGAGAACGGAAUUCCUGGUGUAGCGGUGAAAUGCGCAGAUAUCAGGAGGAACACCGGUGGCGAAGGCGGUUCUCUGGGCAUGACCUGACGCUGAGGAGCGAAGGUGUGGGGAGCGAACAGG